AAAGUCGUAACAAGGUUUCCGUAGGUGAACCUGCGGAAGGAUCAUUAACAAAUUCUAAACACCUGUGUUUCUGUAACUGUCUAAUCGUUGGUAGACCCCCUCAAAAGGGGGGCCCAUCGGCGCCGUGAUGGUUAGAGAAGUACACACAAACAUACACUUUGAUUGACAACACCUAGUGAUCUAGAUAUUAAUUGUAGACAACUUUUAACAAUGGAUCUCUUGGCUCUU
Molecule: unclassified non-coding RNA, 228 nt
Filed under: Basidiomycota sp.
Lineage: Eukaryota; Fungi; Basidiomycota
Description: partial contains small subunit ribosomal RNA, internal transcribed spacer 1, and 5.8S ribosomal RNA
Rfam family: Eukaryotic small subunit ribosomal RNA (bases 1-47)
Source: RNAcentral